Long non-coding RNA from Daphnia pulex (common water flea), 1301 nucleotides. RefSeq lists it as uncharacterized. The transcript is spliced from 3 exons. NCBI's taxonomy places the organism in Eukaryota, Metazoa, Arthropoda, Branchiopoda, Diplostraca, Daphniidae. The record is from RefSeq and is a predicted model, not a curated record.
AGUGUCCAGUUCUGCAACGGAGAUGUUUUCUUUAGAGGUACUUGAAUCAGAAUAAUGAUCAGAACUUUUGUCAUUAUAAUCAUAGUCAACCGACACUUCGUUAUCUUCCAAAAUUAUGUAUUCGACAUGGUGUAUCAUGGUGAACAUUAUAGCGAUUGAAAAAAUGCGUAGUUUUUUAGGUAGAGUUUGUAAUAGGAGCUAUUCACAUCGCGGUUUCGCGUGUCAAUUGUUUCGAUGUCCGCCAUUUUGUGCCAUUGUUUUGGUUGUCUGUAUUGUAUUGACAGCUUCUUCAAGAAAUAGAAGAAGAAGGAGAAGAGUGAUUGUGAAAUUUUUUGCUAUGACAGCUUCCGAAUAAGUGGUAUAAAACCGCAAAAGCUUUCUUGUUAAUUGAUUAGUAUACAAGUAGUUCAAAUCUAAGCAAUACCGGAGACAUCAAAAUCACUUGCGGUCGAUGACGUGCUUGACAGAGCCACAUUUGACACGCUCGGCUGAGUCAAAAUGGGUAGCUAGUACGUUGUUCUUUUUCUGAAGCAAGGUGUACGUAUAUAUGACGACUUCUAGUGACUACGAGCGAUGCGGAACGAUUAGUCAACCGCUCUAAUGAACUAGAAAAACCACAGUAAAAUGGAGACGGCCCUGAAGAAAUGAACUUUGCCACAAGGCUGAGGGAAACAACUCAAAAAGCAUCUGAGCUGUCACGAGACCCCGAGCGUGAGUCUCAGACAGAUAUUAACUGUGACAUGAUGUACGGCAAAAUAUAUUAAAAAAACUGGAAUGACCCAAAAAAGUGAUUGUCUAUCUACGCAUUCUCCCGACUAAUUAAUUAAUCUCCGAAAAAUUAAUUGGUUCCUAGAGCUCGCUAAUUGUAAUUUAUUGUCCAGUCUGUUCAUCAUCUAUAUGCUACGCCAAUCACCAGUGAAUGAUUUACGCAAUAACUCAUAGGCCAUGGCCCAUGGCCAUGGAAAAAUGAUUUUAUGCAAGGCGAUACUUCGGAAAAACUAGCAUGUCGUUUGGUUAUACCGGGGUAAACUUAAACAUCAUAAACAAAUUAAAGUAUUUUAGAUCCACAGCGUUUGGCGCUUCCAAGAACCUAUUCUCGGCCAUAGAAAAAUUCUUACGGGUGACGAUUUAGAAAGAGGAAAGGUUCAGCUGACUGAAGAAAAUAUAUUCUUCGUCAAUGUUGAAAUUAACAUGGUUGUGGUCGAAGAAAAUAGGGUACAAAUUGACAUUGGGUCAAGUUUGACAUAUAUUUUGCAUUGUAAAUUAUAAAAAUUAAAAAAUAAAACAAUUGGGCUCACUUA